AGAGUUUGAUCCUGGCUCAGGAUGAAUGCUGGCGGCGUGGAUAAGGCAUGCAAGUCGAGUGGGUUUAGGCCCACGGCGAACGAGGUAGUAACACGUAGGAAUUUCCCCCGAAGUCAAGGAUAACCCGCCGAAAGGCGGAAUAAUACUUGAUGGUCUCUAAGGAGUAAAGAUUUAUCGCUUCGGGAAAAGCCUGCGGGAUAUCAGCUAGUUGGUAGGGUAAUGGCCUACCAAGGCAAUGACGUCUAGGGGAGGUGAGAGCCUGACCCCCACCGAUGGGACUGAGACACGGCCCAUACACCUACGGGUGGCUGCAGUCGAGAAUCUUCCGCAAUGGGCGAAAGCCUGACGGAGCGACGCCGCGUGAUGGAUGAAGCUCUUCGGGGCGUAAACAUCUUUUAUGAGGGAGGAAGCCGAGCAAUCGGUGUGACGGUACCUCAUGAAUAAGGACCUGCUAAACUCGUGCCAGCAGCAGCGGUAAUACGAGUGGUCCAAGCAUUAUCCGGAAUUAUUGGGCGUAAAGGGUGUGUAGGUGGUAUAGUUAGUCUUUUGUCAAAGCUCCCGGCUUAACCGGGAAAAGGCGAAAGAAACGGCUAAACUAGGAGGGUGUAAGAGGCUUGCGGAACUCAUGGUGUAGGGGUGAAAUCCGUUGAUAUCAUGGGGAACGCCAAAUGCGAAGGCAGCAGGCUGGUACAUACCUGACACUGAAACACGAAAGCGUGGGUAGCGAACGGGAUUAGAUACCCCGGUAGUCCACGCCCUAAACGAUCUUCACUAGCUUUUCGGAGUAUCGACCCUCUGAGAGGCGAAGCUAACGCGUUAAGUGAAGCGCCUGGGAAGUACGGCCGCAAGGCUAAAACUCAAAAGAAUAGACGGGGACUCGCACAAGCAGUGGAUCAUGUGGUUUAAUUCGACGCUAAACGAARAACCUCACCAGGGCUAGACAUCCAAACGAAGACUAGAGGAAACUUUAGUUGUCUCACAAGGACGGUUGGACAGGUGAUGCAUGGCUGUCGUCAGUUCGUGGUUUGAAUUGUUCCCUUAAGUGGGGUAACGAACGCAACCCUUGUCGCCUGUUAUACGUGUCAGGCGAGACUGCUCCAUUUUAUGGAGAGGAAGCGAGGAUGACGCCAAGUCAGCAUGUCCCUUUGACGCCCUGGGCUACACACAUGAUACAAUCGCCAUUACAACGGGUCGCGACGGAGAAAUCCUGAGCUAAUCCUAAUAAAAGUGGCGCCAGUUCGGAUUGAGGUCUGCAACUCGACCUCAUGAAGCCGGAAUUGCUAGUAAUCGCAGGUCAGCUAUACUGCGGUGAAUACGUUCUCGAGUCUUGUACUCACCGCCCGUCAAGCCAGGGGAGCCGGGAGUACCUAAAGUCCUAUUUCGGUAGGCCUAGGGUAAGUUCGGUAANCAAGGGUUAAGUCGUAANCAAGGUAACC
Molecule: ribosomal RNA, 1436 nt
Filed under: uncultured bacterium
Lineage: Bacteria
Description: bacterial SSU rRNA
Rfam family: Bacterial small subunit ribosomal RNA
Source: RNAcentral